Molecule: non-coding RNA, 28 nt
Filed under: Homo sapiens (human)
Lineage: Eukaryota; Metazoa; Chordata; Mammalia; Primates; Hominidae
Source: RNAcentral
UGCCUAAGCUGAGUGUAUUGCUCAUGGU